Molecule: ribosomal RNA, 1224 nt
Filed under: Triticum aestivum (bread wheat)
Lineage: Eukaryota; Viridiplantae; Streptophyta; Magnoliopsida; Poales; Poaceae
Description: partial small subunit ribosomal RNA
Source: RNAcentral
AUGGAGGCAGCAGCAGCCCCUCCCACGCAAAGUACGGUGGCAACUACUGUGCUUGAGGAAGCAACCCCUGAGCAGGAGCAAGCAACCGCCCAGGACUCAACAGACAAGCCUCCGGUACUCCCCAACAAGCAAGCAUAUUCUGCAAAGGGGAAAGAAAUCUCACUGGAUGAUGUUAGGGACAUCAACAACCUCCUUGAGAAGUGUGUGAGCCCAGGUUCGACGCCACCACUCGCGAGGAGUAAUUCUGCUGGCACCAUACCUGUAAUACGGACAUCAGCUACCAUCAAUCUACCAGCAAACAAAGGAGCAUGCGAUUCAGCCAGCAGCUCGGAAGAACCUAUUCCAGAGAAGCGCGAGAGGAAGAUACAUAAAGCUCCACCAUCACAGAGGUCACCAUAUGUGAAUGUAGAGAUGAGGAAGGAUUUCACAUGCAAUGCAGAGACAAACAGAGCGUAUGCACUGAUUCUGUUGCUUGGAGGAGGAGGAGGGACGAGAAGGACGUCGCAGGAGCCUUUCUGUUUGUUCUACAUGCCGCAAAUCAUAAACUAUCAUGGUUACUUCUGCACAAUCAAGGAGCUUGCUCAAUCAAUGAGGAAGGCAGGAUGGAUGAAGAUACAUGUCUUUGAGUUAGGGAUUGAAGCAAUCAUGUACAACAGACAGGUGGGGUCCAAGAAAAUAAUCAUGCCUGUUAGGUUUUCGACUUGGCUUCAGAGGCUCGAUCUAGAUGUGAGGGAGCUGCAUGAUAGGUUCAAAAAAUCAAACCGUUUGGAUGAGCAAGACAUGGUUAUGAUUCCCGUGCUUGAAAAUUUAGACCCAGAGAACGCCAAUGGUGCACACCACUACUGGGUACUCAACAUCAACUUGAGGGACAAAAGGUUCGAAGUGUUUGACUCAUGGAGGAUGUUAAAGAAAAGCAAGAGGCUGGAUGAUGUUGCAAGGGCUAUUGUAGCUGCAGUUCGUGUGUUGUGGGACAAGUACUAUCCAAAACAAGCAAAGACAAUGGACCAGUUCCCGCUUGUGGAUAUCGAUGCACCAAAGCAGACUGUAUCCGGUGACUGUAGCAUAUUCGCAUUGAUGAACGCGUUAUUGUGGAACGAGACGUGGCUCCCGAACUACGGACAAAGCGACAUACCAAACAUCAGGAAGAAGAUGACCAUCUCCAUGCUGAAGUGUGACUUGAACAAGAUUCCAUGGCAGGAGAUCCUCAAACCGGCCAACAAGUGA